This 495-nucleotide ribosomal RNA is filed under the name uncultured bacterium. Its description in RNAcentral is "partial 16S ribosomal RNA". It matches the Rfam family "Bacterial small subunit ribosomal RNA", at positions 28 to 507 of the family's 1533-position model. The record is from RNAcentral.
GACGAACGCUGGCGGCGUGCCUAAUACAUGCAAGUAGAACGCUGAAGGAGGAGCUUGCUUCUCUGGAUGAGUUGCGAACGGGUGAGUAACGCGUAGGUAACCUGCCUGGUAGCGGGGGAUAACUAUUGGAAACGAUAGCUAAUACCGCAUAAUAGUAGAUGUUGCAUGACAUUUGCUUAAAAGGUGCAAUUGCAUCACUACCAGAUGGACCUGCGUUGUAUUAGCUAGUUGGUGGGGUAACGGCUCACCAAGGCGACGAUACAUAGCCGACCUGAGAGGGUGAUCGGCCACACUGGGACUGAGACACGGCCCAGACUCCUACGGGAGGCAGCAGUAGGGAAUCUUCGGCAAUGGACGGAAGUCUGACCGAGCAACGCCGCGUGAGUGAAGAAGGUUUUCGGAUCGUAAAGCUCUGUUGUAAGAGAAGAACGUGUGUGAGAGUGGAAAGUUCACACUGUGACGGUAUCUGACCAGAAAGGGACGGCUAACUACGUG